GAUGCUCUCCUCUCCCACUUCAUCCUACUAUAGAAGACUACUACACCUUCUUCCCCUUGCUCCGAUCUCCCCUCCUCUCCCCAACCCUCACAACUCAUCGACGCUUACAAAGCAGAUUCCGAAGAGAGUUUUAUGGAUGAGAUUGUUCUUCUCCCUUUUCCACUUCAAAUUCUUCUACAAAACGCGAUAUUAGUUUGAUUCGAUUAGAAAGUGGUGCUCCUUGACCUACUUUUUUUAUUGAGACUCUCAUCUUGCCGAAUAUUGGUUGGAGCGGUGCUCCUCAACUUUGGAGCUCUGCUCUUUGAUUGAACCGUGCCAAUAUCACGUAUUACCACUCUGCUUCAAGGCUGUUCGCCCUUCGUUUCAACAUCUGCUUGAGAUCCUAAAUUGGUACAGAUCAGAACUAUUACUUGGUGAAGAUCUCAGUGGAAAUGACAUGCAUGCCUGCAAUGAAACCAUGAGCUGUGAAGUUGGCAAGGAAAGUUCUUCAAAUCCAAAUUCCUAAUUUAUUAUUGCUUUUUUACUCUCUUCAGCAUGCACACCUCCAUCCAAUUCCUGGAGAGAAUAGUCAUCAAAUCCAAGAUCAAUAUGAACUAGCUAAAUACUGAUAUGUGGCCAAGAACCAUCACCCUCAAGCAUCUCUCUACCUCUUCCCUCUACAAAGUAAUUGACACGGAUGCACAACAGAGAACACUCUACAUUUGACAUAUCUCACACACCAAUAUGUUUAGUAUCAGCUGUGCCUGUUGGAGUUGGUGAUGGCAUUUGAGGAGAAGAUCAAUUCCAGUAUAUAGUUUCCGCAGUUUUCUUCAUAUAUACACUAUUAUACAUAUGCCAGACUUAAAUGUGCAAGAUCACUCUUUUUUUUUCCCGAUGCCUGUCAUAGCAUUUUGCAGUGUUGCAGAGAUUUGAGGUCAGAAGAUCUCCGGAUGUCCAACAUGCAGAACAAGCAUAACAUCUACAGUGAAUGGGUGAAAACAUAUGAAAGUGUAAUGUUCAAUAUUAGAAGGCUUCAUGUAAUAAGCUAAAAUUUUGCUUAUGAAUAAACCUUCUAUCAUUUUUGUUGUCA
Long non-coding RNA from Musa acuminata AAA Group (dessert banana), 1069 nucleotides. RefSeq lists it as uncharacterized. The transcript has 2 exons. The record is from RefSeq and is a predicted model, not a curated record. Lineage: Eukaryota; Viridiplantae; Streptophyta; Magnoliopsida; Zingiberales; Musaceae.